This 206-nucleotide long non-coding RNA is filed under the name Citrus sinensis (sweet orange). Its description in RNAcentral is "long non-coding RNA (CSIN_LNC001574)". The record is from RNAcentral. Lineage: Eukaryota; Viridiplantae; Streptophyta; Magnoliopsida; Sapindales; Rutaceae.
UUGGGCGUGUUCGGGCAUUGGCUUCUAGGUCAUCCAUUAGUAUUAGGCAUGUUUUUCGAGAAGCUACAUCUGCUGCUGACUUUAUGGCCAAUUGGGCUUGUACCCAUCAGACUUGUCAGCGAUUUUUCAAUCCUAGUGAUCUUCCAACCGGUUUAUCAGGCAUUAUUCAUUUGGAUACUCAUGGAAUUCCAUACAUUCGACAUUAA